AGAGCACUCCUACGGGAGGCAGCAGUGGGGAAUAUUGCACAAUGGGCGCAAGCCUGAUGCAGCCAUGCCGCGUGUAUGAAGAAGGCCUUCGGGUUGUAAAGUACUUUCAGCAGUGAGGAAGGUGGGUAUGUUAAUAGCAUAUUCAUUUGACGUUAGCUGCAGAAGAAGCACCGGCUAACUCCGUGCCAGCAGCCGCGGUAAUACGGAGGGUGCGAGCGUUAAUCGGAAUUACUGGGCGUAAAGCGCAUGCAGGUGGUUUGUUAAGUCAGAUGUGAAAGCCCGGGGCUCAACCUCGGAAUUGCAUUUGAAAACUGGCAAACUAGAGUACUGUAGAGGGGGUAGAAUUUCAGGUGUAGCGGUGAAAAUGCGUAGAGAUCUGAAGGAAUACCGGUGGCGAAGGCGGCCCCCUGGACAGAUACUGACACUCAGAUGCGAAAGCGUGGGGAGCAAACAGGAUUAGAUACCCUGGUAG
RNAcentral lists this ribosomal RNA (472 nucleotides) under uncultured bacterium. RNAcentral describes it as "bacterial SSU rRNA". It matches the Rfam family "Bacterial small subunit ribosomal RNA", at positions 330 to 793 of the family's 1533-position model. The record is from RNAcentral.